CUUUUGCAGAUAGUUUUCGUUUUGGCUCACAACAUUUGGUCAUUCACCACCAAAACCCAAAACACCUUCCUCUCUUCAAACCCAGAACCCACUCACGCGCCAAACCUUCCUUCGACUUCGAUUCACUCACAUCGUCGACGAAACUUCCUUCCUUCGAUUCACUCGCGACAUCAAACCCCAACCCCAGCCCCGCAUGAUUCUCCCUUCGUAAGCCCAGAAAUCACACACUCGUCACCUUCGAUUCAUCGAUUCACCAUCGAUUCAUUGAUUCACCACCAGAAAGAGGAAACACAAUCGAUUAUGAUUCACCUCUGAUUCGCCACUCAAACAGAAAGAGGAAAAAGCGGAAAGAAAGAACGAACAGAAUUGAUUCUCCAUCAAACUCAUCCCUUCGUCAACUCACCACCAUGGUCCCUCUCUUCAUGGUUAUCUGGAAAUAUGGAUCGGAAAUGGAUGUUUGCCAAUCAAGCGUCAAAAGAAUACAAAGAUGGGGUUCAAGAUUUUGUUAGGAAAAUAAGAAGCAGUUAUUUUUUCUAUCUAAGUGAUUGUAUCUGUGGGUUCGGCAGUGCUUUGGUUCGUGAAGUGGUUACUACUUUGUGUUGUUUUGUUGUCCUUGUUUGUUAGGUGUUUUGUUUAGAGAAUAUGAUUGUUUGUUUGAGAUUUGGUUUGAAGUACUCUUAGUUGGAAUGUAUGCAUCUACAAAUUUGGAUAUCCAAAAUGCCCUCUUUUUUUAGUACAAUAUGCAAAUGCCCUUUAUAUA
Molecule: long non-coding RNA, 760 nt
Organism: Vicia villosa (hairy vetch)
Lineage: Eukaryota; Viridiplantae; Streptophyta; Magnoliopsida; Fabales; Fabaceae
Exons: 3
Source: RefSeq, a predicted model, not a curated record